RNAcentral lists this ribosomal RNA (433 nucleotides) under uncultured bacterium. Its description in RNAcentral is "partial 16S ribosomal RNA". It matches the Rfam family "Bacterial small subunit ribosomal RNA", at positions 29 to 507 of the family's 1533-position model. The record is from RNAcentral.
AACGAACGCUGGCGGCAUGCCUAACACAUGCAAGUCGAACGAGACCUUCGGGUCUAGUGGCGCACGGGUGCGUAACGCGUGGGAACCUGCCCUUAGGGUCGGAAUAACUCCCCGAAAGGGGUGCUAAUACCGGAUAAUGUCUUCGGACGAAAGAUUUAUCGCCUUUGGAUGUGCCCGCGUUGGAUUAGCUAGUUGGUAGGGUAAAAGCCUACCAAGGCGACGAUCCAUAGCUGGUCUGAGAGGAUGAUCAGCCACACUGGGACUGAGACACGGCCAAGACUCCUACGGGAGGCAGCAGUGGGGAAUAUUGGACAAUGGGCGAAAGCCUGAUCCAGCAAUGCCGCGUGAGUGAUGAAGGCCUUAGGGUUGUAAAGCUCUUUUACCCGGGAUGAUAAUGACAGUACCGGGAGAAUAAGCUCCGGCUAACUCCGUG